AAGCUGUCUCUUUUUACAAUUUUUGAAUUUUACUUUUAAGUGAAAAGGCUUAAAUAAUUUGGGGGGACGAUAAGACCCUAUAAAAUUUUACAAAAUUGGGAUUUUUUUUUGAAUUAAGGUUUAAAUUCUAUAAGUUCUUAUUUGUUUUGUUGGGGCGGCAAAGAUAAAAAUUAGUAACUGUCAUUUAAUUAGAAUAAUUAUAAUUAGUUUAAUUGAUCCUUUAUUAGAGAUUAAAAGAUUAAGUUACUUUAGGGAUAACAGCGUAAUUUUCCCUGAGAGUUCUUAUCGACGGGAGUAGUUGCGACCCCGAUGUUGAAUUAAGGAUAAG
RNAcentral lists this ribosomal RNA (328 nucleotides) under Pandalus eous. RNAcentral's name for it is "partial 16S ribosomal RNA". The record is from RNAcentral. Lineage: Eukaryota; Metazoa; Arthropoda; Malacostraca; Decapoda; Pandalidae.